GGAGAGGUCGCAUAGUGGUCUAGUGCGUUCGCUUGGAGAGCGAAUGUAGCCGCAAGGUUACCGCGAGUUCAAAUCUCGCCCUCUCCGCCA
RNAcentral lists this transfer RNA (90 nucleotides) under Patescibacteria group bacterium. Its description in RNAcentral is "tRNA-Ser". It matches the Rfam family "tRNA". Rfam says of the family: Transfer RNA (tRNA) molecules are approximately 80 nucleotides in length. Their secondary structure includes four short double-helical elements and three loops (D, anti-codon, and T loops). Further hydrogen bonds mediate the characteristic L-shaped molecular structure. tRNAs have two regions of fundamental functional importance: the anti-codon, which is responsible for specific mRNA codon recognition, and the 3' end, to which the tRNAs corresponding amino acid is attached (by aminoacyl-tRNA synthetases). tRNAs cope with the degeneracy of the genetic code in two manners: having more than one tRNA (with a specific anti-codon) for a particular amino acid; and 'wobble' base-pairing, i.e. permitting non-standard base-pairing at the 3rd anti-codon position. The record is from RNAcentral.